RNAcentral lists this ribosomal RNA (1295 nucleotides) under uncultured bacterium. RNAcentral's name for it is "bacterial SSU rRNA". It matches the Rfam family "Bacterial small subunit ribosomal RNA", at positions 28 to 1381 of the family's 1533-position model. The record is from RNAcentral.
GGUGAACGCUGGCGACGUGGAUAAGGCAUGCAAGUCAAGGGGCCGCAAGGCACCGGCGAACGAGGUAGUAAUACACAGGUAGACACCGAAAAGCCGAGCAUAGCUCGUCGAAAGACGGGGUAAUUCUCGAUAGUCCCUCCGGGGUAAAGGAGCAAUCCGCUUUUUGAGUUGCCUGUGCCGCAUCAGCUUGUUGGUAGGGUAACGGCCUACCAAGGCUACGACGCGUAGGGGACCUGAGAGGGUGACCCUCACCGAUGGUACUGAGACACGGACCAUACACCUACGGGUGGCUGCAGUCGAGAAUCUUCCGCAAUGGACGAAAGUCUGACGGAGCGACGUCGCGUGCUGGAUGAAGUCUUUCGGGACGUAAACAGCUUUUAUGUAUGAGGAAGUUUUGACGUUAGUACAUGAAUAAGGGGCUCCUAACUCUGUGCCAGCAGGAGCGGUAAUACAGAGGCCCCAAGCGUUACCCGGAAUUAUUGGGCGUAAAGGGUGUGUAGGCGGUUAUGUUAGUCUUCCGUAAAAGCUCUGGGGCUUAACCCCGGAAGUGCGGAGGAAACGGCAUGGCUUCGAGGGCGCGAGAGGUACAGGGAACUCAUGGUGUAGGGGUGAAAUCCGUUGAUAUCAUGGGGAACACCAAAUGCGAAGGCACUGUACUGGCGCGUUUCUGACGCUGAGACACGAAAGCGUGGGUAGCGAAUGGGAUUAGAUACCCCAGUAGUCCACGCCCUAAACGAUCAUCACUGGCUUUACGGAGUAUCGACCCUCUGUGAGGCGAAGCCAACGCGUUAAGUGAUGCGCCUGGGUAGUACGGCCGCAAGGCUAAAACUCAAAGGAAUAGACGGGGACUUGCACAAGCGGUGGAUCAUGCGGCUUAAUUCGAUGACAAACGAAGAACCCCACCAGGGUUUGAAACCUAGACGAAAGCUCCCAGAAACGGGAGCCCCCGCAAGGCGGCUGGGCAGGUGAUGCAUGGUCGUCGUCAGUUCGUGGCUUGAGUUGUUCCCUUCAGUGGGGUAACGAACGCAACCCUCGUUGCCUGUUUUAUAUGUCAGGCGAGACUGCCCCCUCACGGGGGAGGAAGGUGAGGAUGACGCCAGAUCAGCAUGUCCCUUUGAUACCCUGGGCUGCACGCAUGAUACAAUGGGCGCGACAACGCGUUGCGACGUAGUAAUACCGAGCUAAUCGUUAAACGCGCCCCCAGUUCGGAUUGAGGUCUGCAACUCGACCUCAUGAAGCCGGAAUCGCUAGUAAUCGCGGGUCAGCUAUACCGCGGUGAAUACGUUCUCAAGUCU